RNAcentral lists this long non-coding RNA (8018 nucleotides) under Carica papaya (papaya). RNAcentral's name for it is "long non-coding RNA (CPAP_LNC016535)". The record is from RNAcentral. Lineage: Eukaryota; Viridiplantae; Streptophyta; Magnoliopsida; Brassicales; Caricaceae.
GACAAAAAUUUAUUUUGAAACAUUAAAUCAAUUUACUCUUACUUUCAAUAAAAUAAAUUACGACACUUUUACCGACAAAUGAAAGCAAAUCUUGUUACUCGAUGUCGCUUCAAAAUAAAGAAUGACAACCUUUCUCACAUAAGAUGAAUAUCCCAAUAACAAAAGCAUUCAUGUUUUGUUUACGUUAAUUUGUCAACUCUAUGUGAGAAAGCUUGACAACUCUUCAAGAAAAAGUGUAUCAUCAAAGUAACUUUUUCUUUCAAACUAAUAUAUCGGAACAUAUUUAUUUACUUGCUUAUUUUUCAAAUCCGGACACCGAAAAAAAUUAUUUGAAAAUGAAAAAAGCAAGAAACUUAAAAUGAUAACAAAAGAAAUAUUUACUUGCAGCAAGAAGAUCUAACCACAUUUUAUUUUAAGUUCAAACUACCGGGUGGACACAAAGAAUUCUACUUCUCCGAAGAAAUCGAAAAAAUUUUCCUCAAACAUGUAGGGAAAUUUAUUUUGAAACAAUAAAUAAAUUUUCUUUCACUUUCAAUAAAAGAAAUUAAGGUACUUUUACCGACGAACAAAAGUAAAUCUAGAUGCCUAAUGUGCCCUUAAAUAAAGAACGCCAACCUAUCUCACAUAAGAUAGAUAUCCCGAUAACCAAGCAUCCAUGUUUUAUGUCUGCACUAAUUUAUCAACUCUAUAUAAGAAAGUUUGCCGACUCUUCAAGAGAAAGUGUGUCAUCGAAGUAACUUUUGCUUUCAAACUAAUGUAUCGGAUCAUAUUUACUUGCUUGCUCACUUUUCAAACUGGGACAUUGUAAAAAAUCAUUUUUAAACAAAAGAAGCAAAAAACUUAAAACGAUAUAAAAAAAUAUUUACUUUGCAAUUAGAAGAUCUAGCUAUUUUUGUUUUAAGUUCAAACUACCAGUGAGACACAAAGAAUUCUACUUUCUUCGAAGAAAUCAAAAAGCUCUUCCUUAAACACGGACGCAAAUUUAUUUUCAAACAAUAAAUCAAUUUCCUCUCACUUUCAAUAAAAUAAAUUAAGGCACUUUUACUGACGAACAAAAACAAAUCUAGUUACCUAGUAUGGUUUAAAAAUGAAGAACGCCAGCCAUUCUCACAUAAGAUGAAUAUCCCGAUAACCAAACAUUCAUAUUUAAUGUUUGUGCUAAUUUGUCAACUCUAUAUAAGAAAGUUAGCUGACUCUUCAAGACAAAAUGUGUCAUCAAAGUAACUUUUUCUUUCAAAAUAAUAUAUUGAGACAUAUUUACUUGCUUGCUUACAUUCCAAAUUGGGACACCGUAAAAAUUUAUUUUUCAAUGAAAUGAAAGAAGCAUGAAACUUAAGCGAUACCAAAAAUUUUUUACUUGAAGUCAGAAGAUCCAGCCACAUUUUUUUUUAAGUUAAAACUACUGGACGGACACAAAGAAUUCAAUUAUCUCCGAAAAAAUCGAAAACCAUUUUCGUGGGUUCAAAAUGAAGAACGAUAACCUUUCUCACAUAAGAUAUAUAUUUCGAUAACCAAACAUUCAUGUUUUAUGUCUGCGUUAAUUUCUCAACUCUGUGAGAAAGUUUGUCAUCUCUUCAAGAAAAAGUGUGACAUCAAAGAAAUUUUUUCUUUCAAACUAAUAUAGUGGAACAUAUUUACUUGCUUGCUCACUUUUCAAACUGGGACAUUGUAAAAAAUCAUUUUUAAACGAAAGAAGCAAGAAACUUAAAAAGAUAGAAAAAAAUAUUUACUUGCAAUUAGAAGAUCCAGUUGUUUUUGUUUUAAGUUCAAACUAUCAGUGAGACACAAGGAAUUUUCCUUUCUCUGAAGAAAUUGAAAAGUUCGUCCUUAGACACGGACGCAAAUUUAUUUUCAAACAAUAAAUCAAUUUGCUCUCACUUUUACUAAAAUAAAUUAAGGCACUUUUACUAACGAACAAAAUAAAUCUAGUUACGUGAUGUGGCUUCAAAAUGAAAAACAACACUUUUCACAUAAGAUGAAUAUCCCUAUAACCAAACAUUCAUGUUUUAGGUCUACGCUAAUUUAUCAACACUAUAUGAGAAAGUUAGCCGACUCUUCAAGAUAAAGUGUGUUAUCAAAGUAACUUUUUCUUUCAAACUAAUAUAUUGAGACAUAUUUACUAACUUGUUUACGUUCCAAAUUGGGACACCGUAAAAAUUUAGUUUUCAAUGAAAGAAGCAAGAAACUUAGAGCAACACUAAAAAAUAUUUACUUGAAGUCAAAAGAUCCAAUCACAUUUUUUUUUAGUUCAAAGUACCGAACGGACACAAAGAAUUCAAUUGUCUCCGAAAAAAUCGAAAACCUUUUCCGUGGGUUCAAAAUGAAGAACUACAACUGUUCUCAGAUAAGAUAAAUAUCCCGAUAACCAAGCAUCCAUGUUUUACGUCUGCGCUAAUUUGCUAACUCUAUGUGAGAAAAUUUGCCGACUCCUCAAGAGAAAGUGUGUCAUCAAAGUAACUUUUUCUUUCAAACUAAUGUAUAGGAUCAUAUUUACUUGCUUGCUCACUUUUCAAACCGGGACAUUGUAAAAAAUCAUUUUUAAACGAAAGAAGCAAGAAACUUAAAACAAUACAAAAAAAUAUUUACUUGCAAUUAGAAAAUCCAGCUAUUUUUAUUUUAAGCUCAAACUACCAGUGAGACACAAGGAAUUCUACUUUCUCCGAAGAAAUCGAAAAGUUCUUCCUUAAACACGGAUACAAAUUUAUUUUCAAACAAUAAAUCAAUUUCCUCUCACUUUCAAUAAAAUAAAUUAAGGCACUUUUACUGAUGAACAAAAACAAAUCUAGUUACCUGAUGUGGCUUCAAAAUGAAGAACGACAACUAUUCUCACAUAAGAUGAAUAUCUCGAUAACAAAACAUCCAUGUUUUAUGUUUGAGCUAAUUUGUCAACUCUAUGUGAUAAAGUUGGACGACUCUUCAAGACAAAGUGUGUCAUCAAAGUAACUUUUUCUGUAGCACCCGGAAAGGAGGAGGAUUUACUUGAUUACUUACAUUCCAAACUAAGAUAACGAAAAAUUUAUUUUGGGGGGGAGGCCACGUCAGCAGCCACGUCAGCAGGCCCGGUCAGUAGUCCCGGCCAACCAGGGCCUGCUACGUGGCAAGAUCGCGUCACUCCGAAAGGAGCCACGUUGGCGAUCCGCGUGGGUGCGAUCCGACGGCCCAGAUCAAUCGCGCGAUCGGACGGCCCAGAUUCAAACGCACGGACGGCCCAGAUUCAAUCAAAAACGAACGGCCCAGAUUAAAACGAAAUGAACGGCUGUGAUCAAAAGGCAAGGGGUUAUAAAUAGAACCCCCACACCAGACCAAAAACCCUAGCCGCCAGCCGCUCGCCGGAGAAGACGAACCAGAGGCCGACCGCCGCCACCCGCCGCCACUCGCCGCCGCACCGGGGAAAUUUCCGACCGCCGAUCGAGGUAAAUUUCAUACCCCCGACUCGUUUUUUCCCCGCUGAUUCCUCCUAUGGCCAAAUCGAGGCCGAAAUCCCGGCCAAACAGCCGGAAUACGCGGCCGAAGCCCAGCGGCGCCGCCGCGCCCCCUCUCGAUUUUUGCCUCCGACGAGGCCCUUCCCGGCCUCCGUUCGAUGCAAUUUUUAUAUCACCGUGAUCACCAUUCUUUUCUCUACAGGUUGACCGGAGCCGAAUCACCAAAACACGAACCUCGCCGGAGAGCCGCUGCACCCGAGAGCGCCGCCGCCGGUAAGCUCCGUUUUUCCGUGAUUUUUUGGCCCCCCGAGGGCCCUAGGGUUGUUUUCUGACAAGGACCAAUGCGAGCGUGGCCGAAAACGGCCGAAAACAGCCAACCCGAGGCGACUCGCCGCCGCCAGCGGCGGCGCCGUCGCCGGAGCACGGCAAAGCCGCCGUGCCGGAGUUGCGAUUUGGUCCGAAAGGGGCCCUGGGCCUAAUUUGGAUUUUUUUUGGAACACGUGCAGGUACUGUUAGUGUGUUUCAGUUCCCCGGGAAAAAUUCAGGGAAAAUUAGGGACGGCCUGCAGGCGCACUGUGAAUCGUAUUCGGAUCCCGAAAACAAGUAAGGACCCCUCACCCUAUUUCCUAUCACGGUAUUAAAGUUCAAAAUGAUAAAACGGUAUUUCUUGAAUUAACGCAUGUGUGAAAUUGCUUAAGGUUGCUAAUGGAGCCUGAGUCUAGUGUGAUUGAUGAUUUACUGUUAUUUGGCCUGUUUUACAGCUUUAAAUGCAUUAUGGGGUUUGAUGUGUUCAUUUUAUAGUUUCGAAUGCAUAUAUUACUGUUUUAUUAAUUAUGGGUUGAAUGACUGAAGAAGUGAUACUGUAUGUUGUCUGUUCGGCAUGAAUUACGAUUUGCUUGUUUAAAUGUGAAUUGAUGACGCUUAUUGAGGAAAAGGGAAAUGAAACAUUGUAUAGACUGAUAAUUGUAUGAUGGGGUCAGCCUGACUAGAUAUCCUGGGAGAUGGUGGACGGACCGGGUCCGUAGGGAACCCUACCGGAAUUGUGGUCUCACAUGCCGGACGGGGUAUGGAGAUCUUAUGGUUUUGGCGCCCAUACCGGACGGGGUAUGGGGACGGCCCGUUUCACCCUCAUACCGGACGGGGUAUUGAGGUUUAUGGUUUUGGCGCCCAUACCGGACGGGGUAUGGGGACGGCCCUGGAAACUGAUUAUGAAUGUUAAAGGUUAACAGGUAGCGGGACCCCCAUGGAAACUAGUAGGCUGGUAAAUGAGAAAAGGAUAUGUUGUAUAAUGAUUGAACUACAAAAGGCGUGAUAAGUGCUAUGUUUUACAACUUAUAUUAUUCCAUGAUUGUGAUAAUGUUAUUAUUUUUCUUAUAUUGUUUUCAUAAAUUCCACUGAGGUAAGUGGAUGGUAAAGGUUUUCAUGUUAAUAAACGAGUUUAUUGUAAAUUAUGCUCCAUUGGUCUUUUUGUGUUUUUCUACCCACCUUUACCUCCGUGACGGUGAGAUAUCGUGAUGUUCUUACUGGGCUAGUGUAGCUCACUCCUUAUUUAACCAUUUCAGAUCAGGAAGACAUGGUUCCCGAGCCCGUUCCGCAGGAGGACGACGAAGGGGAUACCUAGAGACUCUGUAGUCAUACUCAUAGUUUUAUUUUCGAGUUUCUCUCUUAGUUAGUUUAAUCUUUUAUAUUUUAAGUACGUUUCUGGUUUUUCGUGUAAGGGAUGUUAACUGAAAUUUUGAUCUCGCUUCCGCAUUUGAUAUAUUUAAAUACUCAUUUCAUUUUAAUGUUUCCGGGGCCGUUACAUUUUCUUUCAAACUAAUAUAUUGAGACAUAUUUACUUGCUUACGUUCCAAACUGGGACACCGUAAAAAUUUAUUUUUCAAUGAAAGAAGAAUGAAACUUAAAGCGAUACCAAAAAAUAUUUACUUACAAGAUCCACCCACAUUUUUUUUAAGUUCAAACUCCUGGACAGACACAGAAUUCAAUUGUCUCCGAAAAAAUCAAAAACCUUUUCUGUGGGUUCAAAAUGAAGAAUUACAACCUUUCUCACAUAAGUAAAUAUCCCGAUAAUCAAGCAUCCAUGUUUUAUGUCUGUGUCAAUUUGUCAACACUAUGUGAGAAAGUUAGCCGAAUCAUCAAGACAAAGUGUAUCAUCAAAGUAACUUUUUCUUUCAAACUAAUAUAUCGGGACAUAUUUACUUCCUUGCUUACGUUCCAAACUGGGACACCGUAAAAAUUUAAUUUUUAAAUGAAAGAAGCAAGAAACUUAAAGCGAUACCAAAAAAUAUUUACUCGAAAUCAGAAGAUCCAAUCACAUUUUUUUUAAGUUCAAAGUACCGGACGGACACAAAGAAUUUAAUUGUCUCCGAAAAAUUGAAAACAUUUUUUCGUGGGUUCAAAAUGAAGAGCUACAACCUUUCUCACAUAAGAUAAAUAUCCCGAUAACCAAGCAUCCAUGUUUUAUAUCUGCGCUAAUUUGUCAACUAUAUGUAAGAAAGUUUGCCAACUCUUCAAGAGAAAGUGUCAUCAAAGUAACUUUUUCUUUCAAACUAAUGUAUCGGAUCAUAUUUACUUGCUUGCUCACUUUUCAAACUGGAACAUUGUAAAAAAUCAUUUUUAAACGAAAGAAGCAAGAAACUUAAAACGAUAUAAAAAAAUAUUUACUUGCAAUGAGAAGAUCUAGCUAUUUUUGUUUUAAGUUCAAACUACUAGUGAGACACAAGGAAUUCUAUUUUCUCCGAAGAAAUCGAAAAGCUCUUCCUUAAACACGGAUACAAAUUUAUUUUCAAACAAUAAAUCAAUUUCCUCUCACUUUCAAUAAAAUAAAUUAAAGCACUUUUACUGACGAACAUAAACAAAUUUAGUUACCUGUUAUGGUUUAAAAAUGAAGAACGCCAACCAUUCUCACAUAAGAUAAAUAUCCCGAUAACCAAACAUUCAUAUUUAAUGUCUGUGCUAAUUUGUCAACUUUAUGUGAGAAAGUUAGCUGACUCUUCAAGACAAAGUGUGUCAUCAAAGUAAUUUUUUCUUUCAAAAUAAUAUAUUGAGACAUAUUUACUUGCUCGCUUACAUUCCAAACUAGGAUACCGUAAAAAUUUAUUUUUCAAUGACAUGAAAGAAGCAUGAAACUUUAAGCGAUACCAAAAAAUUUUUAGUUGAAGUCAGAAGAUCCAGCCACAUUUUUUUUUUUAAGUUAAAACUACUGGACGGACACAAAGAAUUCAACUGUCUCCGAAAAAAUCGAAAACCAUUUUCGUGGGUUCAAAAUGAAGAACGACAACUUUUCUCACAUAAGAUAUAUAUUUCGAUAACCAAGCAUCCAUGUUUUAUGUCUGCGUUAAUUUGUCAACUCUAUAUGAGAAAGUCUGUCUCUUCAAGAGAAAGUGUGAUAUCAAAGUAACUUUUUCUUUCAAACUAUAUACUGGAACAUAUUUACUUGCUCGCUCACUUUUCAAACUGGAAUAUUGUAAAAAGUCAUUUUUAAACGAAAUAAGCAAGAAACUAAAAACUAUACAAAAAAAAAAAAAAAAUUUACUUGCAAUUAGAAGAUCCAGCUAUUCUUGUUUUAAGUUCAAACUAUCAUUGAGACACAAGGAAUUCUACUUUCUCCAAAGAAAUCAAAAAGCUCUUCCUUAAAAAAUAGACGCCAAUUUAUUUUCAAGCAAUAAAUCAAUUUCCUCUUACUUUCAAUAAAAUAAAUUAAGGCACUUUUACUGACGAACAAAAACAAAUCUAGUUACCUGAUGUGGCUUCAAAAUGAAGAACGACAACCAUUCUCACAUAAGAUGAAUAUCCCGAUAACCAAACAUCCAUGUUUUAUGUCUGUGCUAAUUUGUCAACUUUAUGUGAAAAAGUUAGCCGACUCUUCAAGACAAAAUGUGUCAUCAAAGUAACUUUUUCUUUCAAACUAAUAUAUUGAGACAUAUUUACUUGUUUGCUUACGUUCCAAACUGGGAUAUCGUAAAAAUUUAUUUUUCAAUGAAAGAAGCAUUAAACUUAAAGCGAUACCAAAAAAUAUUUACUUGAAGUCAAAAGAUCUAGUCACAUUUUUUUUUUAAGUUCAAACUACCGGACAAACACAAAGAAUUCAAUUGUCUCCAAAAAAAUCAAAAAAAAUUUCGGUGGGUUCAAAAUGAAGAACUACAACAUUUCUCACAUAAGAUAAAUAUCCCGAUAACUAAGAAUCCAUGUUUUAUGUCUGCGCUAAUUUUUCAACUCUAUGUGAGAAAGUUUGCCAACUCUUCAACAGAAAGUGUCAUCAAAGUAACUUUUUAUUUCAAACUAAUAUAUCGGGACAUAUUACUUACUUGCUUACUUUUUAAACCGGGACACCAAAAAAAAAUUAUUUGAAAACAAAAUUAGCAAGAAAAUUAAAACAGUACAAAAAAAUAUUUGCAUUCAGAAUAUCCAGCCACUUUUUUUUUAAGAUCAGACUACCGGACAGAUACAAAGCAUUCUACUUUCUUCGAAGAAAUCAAAAAUCUUUUAUUGAACACGAACACAAAUUUAUUUUCAAAUAAUAAAUCAAUUCCUUCACUAGUAAUAAAAUAAAUUAAGGCAGUUUUACCGAUAAACAAAAGCAAAUCUAAUUACCUG